Molecule: non-coding RNA, 78 nt
Submitted as: unclassified sequences
Source: Rfam
ACUGUGGAGUAUAGAAGAACUUGUGAGUAGUAUAUUUAAUUGUGUUAAGUUAUGAAAGCAUAUACGUUGAAGCAGUAA